AUUGAACGCUAGCGGCAUGCCUAACACAUGCAAGUCGAACGGCAGCACGAGGAGCUUGCUCCUUGGUGGCGAGUGGCGGACGGGUGAGUAACGCGUAGGAAUCUGCCUCGUAGUGGGGGACAACCCGGGGAAACUCGGGCUAAUACCGCAUAAUCUCUUCGGAGCAAAGUUGGGGACCUUCGGGCCUAACACUAUGAGAUGAGCCUGCGUUGGAUUAGCUAGUUGGUGGGGUAAAGGCCUACCAAGGCGACGAUCCAUAGCUGGUCUGAGAGGACGACCAGCCACACUGGGACUGAGACACGGCCCAGACUCCUACGGGAGGCAGCAGUGGGGAAUAUUGGACAAUGGGCGAAAGCCUGAUCCAGCAAUGCCGCGUGUGUGAAGAAGGCCUUCGGGUCGUAAAGCACUUUUAGUGGGGAAGAAAAAGACAAGGAUAAUACCCUUGGAAAUUGACGUUACCCACAGAAAAAGCACUGGCUAACUCUGUGCCAGCAGCCGCGGUAC
Molecule: ribosomal RNA, 504 nt
Filed under: uncultured bacterium
Lineage: Bacteria
Description: partial 16S ribosomal RNA
Rfam family: Bacterial small subunit ribosomal RNA
Source: RNAcentral